Molecule: ribosomal RNA, 378 nt
Filed under: uncultured soil bacterium
Lineage: Bacteria
Description: bacterial SSU rRNA
Rfam family: Bacterial small subunit ribosomal RNA
Source: RNAcentral
AGAUUGAACGCUGGCGGCAUGCUUUACACAUGCAAGUCGAGCGGCAGCGCGGGGGCAACCCUGGCGGCGAGCGGCGAACGGGUGAGGAACACAUCGGAACGUGCCCCGGAGUGGGGGAUAACGCCGCGAAAGCGGCGCUAAUACCGCAUAUGCUCCGAGGAGGAAAGCGGGGGACCUGUAAGGGCCUCGCGCUCUGGGAGCGGCCGAUGUCCGAUUAGCUAGUUGGUGGGUAACGCUCACCAAGGCGACGAUCGGUAGCUCGGUCUGAGAGGAUGAAUCAGCCACACUGGGACUGAGACACGGCCCAGACUCCUACGGGAGCAGCAGUGGGAUUUGGACAAGUGGGGCAACCGUGAACUCCAGCCAUGCCGCGGUAGG